Leguminivora glycinivorella is the source of this 2237-nucleotide long non-coding RNA. RefSeq lists it as uncharacterized. The transcript has 4 exons. The record is from RefSeq and is a predicted model, not a curated record. Lineage: Eukaryota; Metazoa; Arthropoda; Insecta; Lepidoptera; Tortricidae.
CGCACACCAGUCCGCCAUCUUUCUUACCUUUUUGAUUGUUGACUUCAUGACUUGUAAAUUUUGUAAUUAGUUUUUGCCGACGUCCACCGUGCCGUUUUUUAAGUAAUUUUUGGUAUUUUACAAAUUGUGUUACUUUAGUGGACACGUGGAGACAUGGACGCUGACUGUUGGAAGAAUUCGUCAAUUCAGACUGGCGCAAAGAGCUAUCAGGGCGCGAUGCCAGGAAUUUCAUUGCGAGACAGAAUUCGAAAUGAGGAUAUUCGCCAACGCAAUAAAGUUACCGACAUUGCAAAAAGGAUUAACUCAAGUGGGAAUGGACCGGCUAUAUUUUUCGCAGAGAUGACGAUCAAUGGGGUCGCCUAGUAUUGCUGUGGAGACCUAGCCUGGGUGGCCGAGGUGGCGGGAAACCACGAGCAGAUGGUCGGAUGACAUCAAAAAAGGGCAGGGCCCACCUGGCACAGAACCGUCACAUAUAGAACGGAGUGGAAACCCACGGAAUGCAGACCAGGAUUAUAUACUUUAGGUAUGAGUUUGUUACUUUUGCUCAUAAUAACAUGGAGUAUGUCACAGCUGCUCCACGGGCUGCAUUGAGGGGCAACAGGAGCGAAAAUGUUAAAAUGGAAAGGAGCUCCCCCUUUCAAUUAGGGAAUCUUAGGAUAUGCUAAGGCAAACAGAAGGAGGCAAGGAACGGACUGCAUCAAUUGCUGUCUGGAACCAAUCUUGUGGGAUGACUUCUGGACAGGGAAAAACAAUUUCAUCAUCUACCCUAAUACUGACGAAUGUUCUAAAACGUGCUGUAAGGCAGACAUUUCCAAAUGUAACGGAGGAAAGUUUCGAGACAUGUAAUGGUUUCAACACGCUGCUGAGACCCAACUCAAGAGACGUCAGUUUGUACUGUUUAGUCCAUUCUCUAUUGGGCAUGCUUGUAUUGAGAGGUAUAUAUAUUGGAGUAUAGACAUGAUGUUUGGUAUGAGUAUUAUAUACAUCCUUUUGAGUCAAAUAGGACCGGUAGCCACUUUGAACUCCGUGUCCGAAAGGGUCAAAGUAUGGAGCUCCCGGUACUCAGAAAAAAAAUUCUGGCCUAUUUUGAACUUUCGAGUCAAGUUUGGUGUCAUUUUUAAACAGUUCGCUUCGUUUUUAAAUUGAAGAAGAUUAAAAAUCACAGUAAUAUUAUAAAGGCAAAAGUUUGUGAGCAUACCGUGUUUGUUACUUCCUCACGCCACGCCCAAGUGCCUUAACAAAUAUUAUUUAUAAAAUUAAGUAUGGAGGAAGUACGAUAUACCCUAAGUUAACACGUCGCUUCUUCUUGAUCGUGGGUAACACUCGGGGCGCAGUAUAAUGAUUAUUAAAAAUCUUUAUGCUGUCCCCUAUGCUGCGAUGGCGAUCGUUGCAGUACUUUCAAUAUUUUUUUUACAUCAAAUAUUAGAAUCAUCAAAGAUUACUAAUAAAAUAGGCUUUUUAGAAAUAUUUUUUAAAAAUCAUGAUUAGUAUAAAAAUACGGAAAUAUGAGGAUUUGUUUGCAUUUCGUGGCUACUAAAAAUUCAUUAUUAAUAAAUAUUGUGCUAUAUUUUGCUAUGGAACCCUAAAAAAGUAGUUACAUAAAAAUGACACUAAAAUUGACUCAAAGCUCAAACUAAUCGGCCAGAAUUUUUUUCUGAGCAGCAGGAGCUCCAUACUUUGAACCCCUCUCCCCCCUUCGGACACGGAGUUCAAAGUGGCUACCGGUCUUGUUUGACUCGGGAGGACGUGUAUAAUACCCAUGUAGAUGUAGAUGUAGUGUAGGGACGCCUGGCCGGAUACAGGCGGGCUGUCGAUCGCUGGUGCGUUCAUUCAGCCCAAUUCCCUGGAGUUGGAGCUGCAGGUUACUGUCCCGGCUGCCCUCCCACACUUCUCUCCUCAAAUCUUCUUGUUUUCCUGCAGAACAUAAUACCCAUACUAAACGCCAAUGCUCUACUCAAAAAUUCACUUUUUCCCAAUAGAGAACGGACUGUGUUAGACAGUGCAUGUUGUUACACGGUACAUUUUUCUAGAAGACCAAAUUUAUAAGUUCCUUAGUUAUUCUAUUUUUAACUAAAUAAGUUCUUGUACUAUAAGCAGUAAUCGGAAUAGGCAGAGUAGAUAUAUUUAUUUUUAAACGAAAUGACUUCCUUGCGAUAGUAUUUUUUCAGUACAGAUGGUAUUUUUUUUACGCACUAGUGCGAGAAGUGGUUCAUUAUACGCCAGGUCGAAACUUCGGA